CUCAAUGAAAAUUCAAUAGCCGCAAUAUUAUUGUGCUAAGGUAGCAUAAUCAUUUGUCUUUUAAUUAAAGACUAGAACGAAAGAUUCUAUAUUUUUAUUUCUUUCUUAUAUAUAAAUUAUUUAAAUUAUUCUAAAUAUAAAAAAAUAUUUAUAAAACAAAAAGACGACAAGACCCUAUUGAACUUAACUAAAGUUAAACUGGGGUAGUUAAUUAAAUAUAAUUUUAAUUUUAUUUAUAAAAACAACCUAAUUCAAUUAAAUAUAUUAAGUUACCAUAGGGAUAACAGCGUAAUAAAUUUCUAAAGAUCUUAUCCAAAAAUUUGUUUACGACCUCGAUGUUGAAUUAAUAAUCUAUUAAAUGCAAUAAUUUAAUAAGAAAGUCUGUUCGACUU
RNAcentral lists this ribosomal RNA (392 nucleotides) under Draconarius sp. ZZ264. RNAcentral describes it as "partial 16S ribosomal RNA". The record is from RNAcentral. Lineage: Eukaryota; Metazoa; Arthropoda; Arachnida; Araneae; Agelenidae.